AGAGUUUGAUCAUGGCUCAGGACGAACGCUGGCGGCGUGCUUAACACAUGCAAGUCGUGCGGAAAGGCCUUUCGGGGUACUCGAGCGGCGAACGGGUGAGUAACACGUGAGUAACCUGCCCCCGUCUUCGGGAUAAGCCUGGGAAACCGGGUCUAAUACCGGAUAUGACCUGUCGUGGCAUCGCGGCGGGUGGAAAGUGCGCUCCCUUUGGGGGUGUUGCGGGUGGGGAUGGGCUCGCGGCCUAUCAGCUUGUUGGUGGGGUGGUGGCCUACCAAGGCGACGACGGGUAGCCGGCCUGAGAGGGCGACCGGCCACACUGGGACUGAGACACGGCCCAGACUCCUACGGGAGGCAGCAGUGGGGAAUCUUGCGCAAUGGGCGGAAGCCUGACGCAGCGACGCCGCGUGGGGGAUGACGGCCUUCGGGUUGUAAACCUCUUUCAGCAGGGACGAAGGUGACGUGUACCUGUAGAAGAAGCGCCGGCUAACUACGUGCCAGCAGCCGCGGUAAUACGUAGGGCGCGAGCGUUGUCCGGAAUUAUUGGGCGUAAAGAGCUCGUAGGUGGCUUGUCGCAUCUGCCGUGAAAGGCCUGGGCUUAACUCGGGUUUUGCGGUGGAUACGGGCUGGCUAGAGGUAGGUAGGGGAGAACGGAAUUCCUGGUGUAGCGGUGAAAUGCGCAGAUAUCAGGAGGAACACCGGUGGCGAAGGCGGUUCUCUGGGCCUUACCUGACGCUGAGGAGCGAAAGCGUGGGGAGCGAACAGGAUUAGAUACCCUGGUAGUCCACGCUGUAAACGUUGGGCGCUAGGUGUGGGGUUCUUCCACGGGUCCCGUGCCGUAGCUAACGCAUUAAGCGCCCCGCCUGGGGAGUACGGCCGCAAGGCUAAAACUCAAAGGAAUUGACGG
Molecule: ribosomal RNA, 904 nt
Filed under: uncultured bacterium
Lineage: Bacteria
Description: bacterial SSU rRNA
Rfam family: Bacterial small subunit ribosomal RNA
Source: RNAcentral